UACGAAGGGUGCAAACGUUGCUCGGAAUUAUUGGGCGUAAAGCGCACGUAGGCGGCUUAGCAAGUCGGAAGUGAAAUCCCUCGGCUUAACCAAGGAAGUGCUUUCGAAACUGCUGAGCUUGAGUACUUAAGAGGGUCGUGGAAUUCCCAGUGUAGAGGUGAAAUUCGUAGAUAUUGGGAAGAACACCGGUGGCGAAGGCGGCGACCUGGUCCGAUACUGACGCUGAGGCGCGAAAGCGUGGGGAGCAAACAGG
RNAcentral lists this ribosomal RNA (253 nucleotides) under uncultured bacterium. RNAcentral's name for it is "partial 16S ribosomal RNA". It matches the Rfam family "Bacterial small subunit ribosomal RNA", at positions 524 to 776 of the family's 1533-position model. The record is from RNAcentral.